UCAUAGCCAUAUGACAUUCAUAUACCAGUUUUCGUACGAUAACCGAAGUUAAACAACGUCGGGCCUGGUCAGUAUCUAGUUGGGUGACUGGCUGGGAAUAUCAGGUGCAGUAAG
Non-coding RNA from Acanthosepion pharaonis, 114 nucleotides. NCBI's taxonomy places the organism in Eukaryota, Metazoa, Mollusca, Cephalopoda, Sepiida, Sepiidae. The record is from the annotation of a GenBank genome assembly.